This 115-nucleotide ribosomal RNA is filed under the name Staphylococcus pasteuri. The record is from RNAcentral. Lineage: Bacteria; Bacillati; Bacillota; Bacilli; Caryophanales; Staphylococcaceae.
UCUGGUGAAAAUGGCAAGGAGGUCACACCUGUUCCCAUGCCGAACACAGAAGUUAAGCUCCUUAGCGCCGAUGGUAGUCGGACUAACGUUCCGCUAGAGUAGGACGUUGCCAGGC